AUAGAACGCUGGCGGCAUGCCUUACACAUGCAAGUCGAACGGUAACAGGUCUUCGGAUGCUGACGAGUGGCGAACGGGUGAGUAAUACAUCGGAACGUGCCUAGUAGUGGGGGAUAACUACUCGAAAGAGUGGCUAAUACCGCAUGAGAUCUACGGAUGAAAGCAGGGGAUCGCAAGACCUUGUGCUACUAGAGCGGCCGAUGGCAGAUUAGGUAGUUGGUGGGAUAAAAGCUUACCAAGCCGACGAUCUGUAGCUGGUCUGAGAGGACGAUCAGCCACACUGGGACUGAGACACGGCCCAGACUCCUACGGGAGGCAGCAGUGGGGAAUUUUGGACAAUGGGCGCAAGCCUGAUCCAGCAAUGCCGCGUGCAGGAUGAAGGCCUUCGGGUUGUAAACUGCUUUUGUACGGAACGAAAAGCCCCGGGUUAAUACCCUGGGGUCAUGACGGUACCGUAAGAAUAAGCACCGGCUAACUACGUGCCAGCGGCCGCCGCCG
RNAcentral lists this ribosomal RNA (498 nucleotides) under uncultured bacterium. RNAcentral describes it as "partial 16S ribosomal RNA". It matches the Rfam family "Bacterial small subunit ribosomal RNA", at positions 31 to 523 of the family's 1533-position model. The record is from RNAcentral.